RNAcentral lists this ribosomal RNA (539 nucleotides) under Penicillium crustosum. RNAcentral's name for it is "eukaryotic LSU rRNA". The stretch from base 158 to 310 matches the Rfam family "5.8S ribosomal RNA". The record is from RNAcentral. Lineage: Eukaryota; Fungi; Ascomycota; Eurotiomycetes; Eurotiales; Aspergillaceae.
GUCCAACCUCCCACCCGUGUUUAUUUUACCUUGUUGCUUCGGCGGGCCCGCCUUAACUGGCCGCCGGGGGGCUUACGCCCCCGGGCCCGCGCCCGCCGAAGACACCCUCGAACUCUGUCUGAAGAUUGAAGUCUGAGUGAAAAUAUAAAUUAUUUAAAACUUUCAACAACGGAUCUCUUGGUUCCGGCAUCGAUGAAGAACGCAGCGAAAUGCGAUACGUAAUGUGAAUUGCAAAUUCAGUGAAUCAUCGAGUCUUUGAACGCACAUUGCGCCCCCUGGUAUUCCGGGGGGCAUGCCUGUCCGAGCGUCAUUGCUGCCCUCAAGCCCGGCUUGUGUGUUGGGCCCCGUCCCCCGAUCUCCGGGGGACGGGCCCGAAAGGCAGCGGCGGCACCGCGUCCGGUCCUCGAGCGUAUGGGGCUUUGUCACCCGCUCUGUAGGCCCGGCCGGCGCUUGCCGAUCAACCCAAAUUUUUAUCCAGGUUGACCUCGGAUCAGGUAGGGAUACCCGCUGAACUUAAGCAUAUCAAUAAGAAGGAGGAA